UUGAGAAUAAGGAUGGUUCAAGAGCACCUUGAAGAGGAUUUUUAAUGUUACAGAUUUUGUAUUGGCAAGUUUUGUGAUUUGAGUCGGAGUCUUGAAGGGUUCAGUUCGUGAUUGUCGAAGACUGAAGAAUUCGAGAUUCCGAGAACUUAAAAACAUCUCACCGUAUGAAUCACAAUGUUCAGGUAAGUUUUUAAAUGUCUUUAUGGUGAUUCAUAUCUAUUUAUGACGUUAAAAUCAUAUAAACUAAUGUUUAAUGGAUUAGAAGUGGUUUUUGGAACUUUUAAAUCGAAUG
RNAcentral lists this long non-coding RNA (292 nucleotides) under Ananas comosus (pineapple). Its description in RNAcentral is "long non-coding RNA (ACOM_LNC041449)". The record is from RNAcentral. Lineage: Eukaryota; Viridiplantae; Streptophyta; Magnoliopsida; Poales; Bromeliaceae.